This 253-nucleotide ribosomal RNA is filed under the name uncultured bacterium. RNAcentral's name for it is "partial 16S ribosomal RNA". It matches the Rfam family "Bacterial small subunit ribosomal RNA", at positions 524 to 776 of the family's 1533-position model. The record is from RNAcentral.
UACGGGGGGGGCAGGCGUUGUUCGGAAUUACUGGGCGUAAAGGGCUCGUAGGCGGCCAACUAAGUCGGACGUGAAAUCCCUCGGCUUAACCGGGGAACUGCGUCUGAUACUGGUUGGCUUGAAUCCGGGAGAGGGAUGUGGAAUUCCAGGUGUAGCGGUGAAAUGCGUAGAUAUCGGGAGGAACACCAGUGGCGAAGGCGACUACCUGGCCUGUUCUUGACGCUGAGGCGCGAAAGCUAGGGGAGCAAACGGG